GAUGAACGCUGGCGGCGUGCCUAAUACAUGCAAGUCGAGCGAACAGACGAGGAGCUUGCUCCUCUGACGUUAGCGGCGGACGGGUGAGUAACACGUGGAUAACCUACCUAUAAGACUGGGAUAACUUCGGGAAACCGGAGCUAAUACCGGAUAAUAUAUUGAACCGCAUGGUUCAAUAGUUAAAGACGGUUUUGCUGUCACUUAUAGAUUGAUCCGCGCCGCAUUAGCUAGUUGGUAAGGUAACGGCUUACCAAGGCGACGAUGCGUAGCCGACCUGAUAGGGUGAUCGGCCACACUGGAACUGGAACACGGGACAGACUCCAACGGGAGGCAGCAGUAGGAAAUCUUCGGAAAUGGGAGAAAGCAUGACGGAGAAACGACGCGUGAGUGAUGAAGGGCUUGGGAUCAUAAAACUCUGUUAUUAGGGAAGAACAAAGGUGAAAGUAAGUAUGCACGUCUUGACGGUACAUAAUAAGAAAGCCACGGCUAACUACGU
RNAcentral lists this ribosomal RNA (496 nucleotides) under uncultured bacterium. Its description in RNAcentral is "partial 16S ribosomal RNA". It matches the Rfam family "Bacterial small subunit ribosomal RNA", at positions 28 to 506 of the family's 1533-position model. The record is from RNAcentral.